RNAcentral lists this ribosomal RNA (301 nucleotides) under uncultured bacterium. RNAcentral describes it as "partial 16S ribosomal RNA". It matches the Rfam family "Bacterial small subunit ribosomal RNA", at positions 509 to 808 of the family's 1533-position model. The record is from RNAcentral.
CAGCCGCCGCGGUAAUACGUAUGUCACGAGCGUUAUCCGGAUUUAUUGGGCGUAAAGCGCGUCUAGGUGGUUAUAUAAGUCUGAUGUGAAAAUGCAGGGCUCAACUCUGUAUUGCGUUGGAAACUGUAUAACUAGAGUACUGGAGAGGUAAGCGGAACUACAAGUGUAGAGGUGAAAUUCGUAGAUAUUUGUAGGAAUGCCGAUGGGGAAGCCAGCUUACUGGACAGAUACUGACGCUGAAGCGCGAAAGCGUGGGUAGCAAACAGGAUUAGAUACCCCAGUAGUCCCUGUCUCUUAUACA